AUGGCAGUCAAGCUGACUAAUAACAAAUGGGUGGUCACAGGUGUUGUUGCAGACCACAAUCAUAGACUGAUUGAGAAGCCAUCUCUCACUAAAUACCUCCGCUCUCACCAAGGCAUCCUGCCGGAAGAGGUUGAGUUCCUAGAAAUAUUGCAUAGGUGCAACAUGGACACAGGUCGCAUGAUGACUGUUAUGUCUGAAUUCUAUGGCCAAGCUGCAAUUGUUCCGUACACGACGAAAAUGAUAAGCAACAUGAGAACUAGCCUUCGCAGUGCUGAGGCAAAUGAAGCUGACUUGGCUGAGAUAGUUGCCUACUUCGAGAAAAAGCAGGAAGAAGACCCAGGCUUCUUCUUAAAAAUCAAAAGAGAUGGGAUAGGCAGGGCUGAGAAUUUGUUUUGGGUUGAUGGGAGGGCUCGAGAGGCCUACAUAAAAGCUUACAAUGAUUGUAUCUCUUUUGACACAACCUACUUGACGAAUAUGUAUAACAUGCCCUUUGCUCCAUUUAUUGGCAUGAACAAGCAUGUGCAGUCUUUCAUGCUGGGGUGUGGCUUCUUGCGGCAAGAGCUUGAGACCAGCUUUGAUUGGUUGUUUGGGGCCUUUCUUGAAGCGAUGCAUGGCAUUGCACCGCUCAACAUCAUAACUGACCAAGAUCAGGCGAUGAAAAACUCUAUAGCAAACAUGUUCCCACACGCAGUUCACCGUAGUUGCCGCUGGCAUAUCAUUAAGAAAGCCCAAGAGAAGUUGGGUGCUUACUUGGCUAGGCAUCCUGAGCUAGCUAAAGAACUCAAUGAGGUGAUAGACUUGAGCAUGACUCCUGAGGAGUUUGAGGUGAGGUGGGCUGCUAUGGUUGAGAAGCAUGGUAUUGCUGGCGAUAAACGCUUUGAUGAUCUCUAUGCAAUCAAGCAUCUUUGGGUCCCCUGCAACUUUAGGAAGUGUUUCUUCCCAUUCCUGCAGUCGACUCAGCGUAGUGAAGGCUUCAAUGCUGUCCUAAAAAGGUACGUUAACCCACAAAAUUCUGUGCUCAACUUUGUGAAGCAAUAUGAGAAGAUAAAUGACAAGAUCUUGGUGAAAGAAGGGGGUAAUGAUUACCGAACAGAUGAGCUUGAGCCAAGGCUUUGGUCCCUGUUCCCAAUUGAGAAGCAAGCAUUGCGAGUUUACACAAGGGAUAUAUACUACAGGUUCCAACAUGAGUUUUCUUUGAUUGGCAUGUAUAAUGUUAGGCCUCAAGGCGGCAACAUGUACCUGCUUGAGCCUAGCAGAAUUUAUGCAGGGAUUUAUGGGCGUAGAUUGUACAUGGUAACAGCGCAGGUUGAUCAGCAACACUAUGGCUGUGAGUGUUGCAAGUUUUACAGGGAUGGGCUGCUUUGUGUCCACAUCUUGAAAGUGUUCACCCACCUUGGUGUUGAUGAGAUCCCUGAGCGUUACUACUGCCUAGAUGGACUCAGAACGCUAUUCUUACUGAUAUGCCCCCUAAAACACAAGUCCCUGAUGCCAUGCCUAAAGAGUCUUUGUAGCAAAUAA
This 1518-nucleotide ribosomal RNA is filed under the name Triticum aestivum (bread wheat). RNAcentral's name for it is "partial small subunit ribosomal RNA". Lineage: Eukaryota; Viridiplantae; Streptophyta; Magnoliopsida; Poales; Poaceae. The record is from RNAcentral.